RNAcentral lists this ribosomal RNA (253 nucleotides) under Terrimonas lutea. Its description in RNAcentral is "partial 16S ribosomal RNA". It matches the Rfam family "Bacterial small subunit ribosomal RNA", at positions 524 to 776 of the family's 1533-position model. RNAcentral also lists the same sequence under 1 other name. Lineage: Bacteria; Pseudomonadati; Bacteroidota; Chitinophagia; Chitinophagales; Chitinophagaceae. The record is from RNAcentral.
UACGGAGGGUGCAAGCGUUAUCCGGAUUCACUGGGUUUAAAGGGUGCGUAGGUGGGUUGGUAAGUCAGUGGUGAAAUCCCCGAGCUUAACUUGGGAACUGCCAUUGAUACUAUCAGUCUUGAAUACUGUGGAGGUCAGCGGAAUAUGUCAUGUAGCGGUGAAAUGCUUAGAUAUGACAUAGAACACCAAUUGCGAAGGCAGCUGGCUACACAAAUAUUGACACUGAGGCACGAAAGCGUGGGGAUCAAACAGG